Long non-coding RNA from Aegilops tauschii subsp. strangulata, 3262 nucleotides. RefSeq lists it as uncharacterized. The record is from RefSeq and is a predicted model, not a curated record. NCBI's taxonomy places the organism in Eukaryota, Viridiplantae, Streptophyta, Magnoliopsida, Poales, Poaceae.
GAGGCUCAGGGGGAAACCCACGGCGGCUCAUCGCGGCGAAUCCGGGUCAUACGUGGCCGUUGACUCCCAGUCGUGAUUGUCCUUGUUUCCGGGUGGUGGCCACCCCCUUCUUCCUCUUUUCUUGUUUUUUUUUCUUUCUUUCAGCAGAUUCUUUUACGGAUUCGCCUCAGGACUUGAAGUAAACAGCUGCGGUUUGAUGGAUGUAUGUACAUCUCUGUCUUCGGUUUAACAUGGAGGCGACUCUCAAUUGACAACGGGAACUCGGCGGUUUGACUGCAGCUUGGGCGUUUUGCGUGUGCAUGUGAAAACAUCCCUUGUGUCGGUCACGUAGUAAUUAAGGACAGUAAAACUGAGCCUAAACCGAGCUCUCUCAGCGAAUUAGCGUUUUUGGCCGUCCGUUUCACGAUGAUCUUUACUGGCCGUCAGAUUUCAUGUCCAAAGCGAUCUGCCCCGUAAUCUGGGUAAUCUGGCCCGGCUGUCCUCUGGGUUGCUGCUCCAGAGGCCGAAACGAAGGGCUCUCGUGGAUUGGGCCGUCGGGCAGCCCAUUAUACCGCCUGGGCUUCGAGCGACUGCGUACAACUGACGGUGCGAGGAGAUGCUUAAAAAAACUGCCCACGGCCUCUCGUCUCUCUCAAUCAAUUACCACCCCCGAUCUCUCCUCUCUCUCUCCCUCGCACACGAACAGGUUGCGCCGCCACCGUCGUCGUUUCGUUUGGCUCCCACCUCCUCAUGGCGCAGUCCAUGCCCACCCCGUUGGAAUGUCGCCUCCGUCUCCGUUUAGCCGUCGAUGUCCUCCAUCUCUUGUCUUCCGUCUGAAAGGCCAACAGAGAGCAUCUAUUUCUGGGGGCGGCCACGAGAUCCAUCACCAGAUCGGUGGCGCACCGCACCCCUCAAGCAUGUAUCCAAUUUUUAUCUGGAGUCCUUGGGCGGGCCGCUGCCAGAUCUGCCACGCUCGUGUACACUAUAGCGAUGCAGCGGUGAGCAACAGAAGCAACAGAGAGUUUCGGGCACCGCUGGCGAUGUCGUCGUCAUGGAACAUGUUGGGGCUGGAGGUGAUCUACUAGGUCAUCGAUUAGGUGGACCGCCUUCUUCGCCCGGUCGUUCAGCAUCUACCUGCAGGUCAUCCUCAACUACAAGUGCAAGAGCUGGAAAUUGUAGGAAUUGCCUUGAUUGCUUUCCUCCUAUGGCAAGAUAAUGGCCCUGUUUACAGGAGGGUGGCAUGUAUGGAAAGUAUCGGGAAAACAAAAGGUAUUUAGUACCGAGUAAAAUGAACAUUGGCAUAUAGUAGAAAAUGUGGUGUAUAUACGCACUGCAGUUGGUUGUGGUGCUUAUAAACUAUUUAAUUUAUGCUCUGUUGUCCAUCUUAUCAUGAUUGUUGUAUAUCAAUUCCUGCACUUAUGGCUAAAUAAAAAUCAUGACUGGAAAGAAGACUCAAGGAAUAAGAACAGACCAUUAGGAUAUUUGGAUCAGAUCAAAACCAAAAAAUCGUCACAAAACCGAAGAUAUUUGGAUCAGACCAUUAAGAGUUUUGGUGGUUUCCACAACUGUAUGAAAAAUUGGAAUUUAAAUUUUGGACCCAUCAAGAUUUGUACUUGUGGCAGUAUGGUCUGAUUGUGUUUAUUUUAGUAACCACAUCGUCCACAACACGGCUUUUCAUAGGUAUUGCUUUCCCUUGCCCAUUCCGAUAAUUAAUUAAGCUUUAUCCUAAAAGCCAAUUUUAUCAUUCAACCCUUAAGAAAUGUGUUAUGCACAGAGACGUGGCCUUCAAGUGUGAAGUCAGAUACAAACUAACACAUGUUGAUGCAGUUGUUACCACAUAUACACUCUUAGUUAUUUUCCUAUCUGACCAAAUGAUAUCUACUCUUUGUCCAGUUCUUGCAAAAAGGAAUGGAUUAUUGAAUGUUUGCCACUCCAUGGUAUGCUUGAUUGUUGUGUGCUUUUUUGAGCAAAUUGGAUAAUUUGUGGAAAAUCUGAAUUUUAUAUGACGGUCUGAACUUUCUUUUUGCAUGAUUGUUGAUAAAUUAUUUUAUCUGAGAUUUGCUAAGCCAAAUUUAGGUGAGCAUAGCAUUCCAGCACAUCAAGACAAAUGUAUAUUGUAGUAUUUCCAAAUUAUCGAUAUGGGAGGUGACAAGAGUAGUGUUGUUAAGGGUGUUUUGUUCCCACUACGAUUUGUGUUUCUGUUCUUAGACUUUUUGCAUGUUUUGUAACGGUAUUACAAAGCUUUCAUCAAGGUCAAUGCACACAGAGGUGACGCUGGAGCUGUCUUGCUCGAGGUUAAUUUUAUCCUACUUCGGCUCCAUUGCGCAAAGAUGAACAACAACCCAAGAAAAUUCGGUGCAAAAGACAAUAAAAGUAAUAAGUUAUCACCACUAUGAGCCCCCCUUUGGUUAAAGAUAACUUUACAUAACAACGUUGCAUGAUAAUUUGGGGUUUAAUCCUAAGAUACUCAUUUUUUAUGUGAUAUAAAGUGUUUCAUCGUCCCUUUAGCCUAAUAACACACUAUCUCACUGAAGGUUUCUUCUGUGCUUUCUAAUUAAUGGAGUGACUGUCGAGAUUUGAAUAGCGAAUGUUUUCAAUGUUUGAACGCCACAAUCUCCGUGGAAGGCAUACAUAUAGAACAAUUGUUUUAUUUUAUUAAGCUGAAGCAUGUCAAAUAUUAUUUAGUUACUUUGAUGGAAAAAAAACAUUGUAUUCACUUAGUACUCAACAUAACAGAAAUUAUGUUGAACUUCCUAUCAUUGAAACAUGAGAUUUUCCACUGAAAGUUUAUUUAUGUGUCCUACAACAACUUUCAUUAGCAUCUAAUCCUCCAUCCUAUCUUUUUGUUCUGUUAUUCGUUGAGGAGUUCUGUGGGGGUCGUUAGUCUAUUGGAGAAUGUGGGAGAGAGAGAGAGAGAGCAAGGCUGUUCUUCUUAAGUUGCUUGCACGUUUGUAGGUUAGCCCCAUAUCUUUGUACAAGUUAAUCCGUGCUCUCUCACAUCAACUUCUUUUUGUUUGAUGGAUAAAUCUUCAUUCAUUAAACAGCUCUUUAUGAACUAACAAACAUAUAAUCUUGUAGGUACCUUCAUGGCACGAGAUGGACAAUUUCAAUCCACCCUUUAUUCCAAAUUGUCUUACUGAUUCAUGCUAAGCAACUAUGAAAACUUCUGGAUGACCCUUUUUUAUAUAUUGUGUUUGAUGUAUCUACAUUUCAGAAACCUAGAUCAUGAAUGUGGAUGGAAGCAAAUCGCUUAAAUUGCAAAAUAAAGAAUGCAUUAUACAAA